UACGUAGGGGGCUAGCGUUGUCCGGAAUCAUUGGGCGUAAAGAGCGUGUAGGCGGCCCGGUAAGUCCGCUGUAAAAGUCAAAGGCUCAACCUUUGAAUGUCAGUGGAUACUGCCGGGCUAGAGUCCGGAAGAGGCGAGUGGAACUCCUGGUGUAGCGGUGGAAUGCGCAGAUAUCAGGAAGAACACCAACGGCGAAGGCAGCUUGCUGGGACGGUACUGACGCUGAGACGCGAAAGCGUGGGGAGCGAACAGG
This 253-nucleotide ribosomal RNA is filed under the name uncultured bacterium. RNAcentral's name for it is "partial 16S ribosomal RNA". It matches the Rfam family "Bacterial small subunit ribosomal RNA", at positions 524 to 776 of the family's 1533-position model. The record is from RNAcentral.